UUUCGUGCCCAGCAGCCGCAGUAAUACGAAUGCGACCUAGCGUAGUUCGNNNUACUGGNCUAAAGAGUUCGUAGGUGGUUGAAAAAGUUGGUGGUGAAAUCCCCAGAGCUUAACUCUGGAACUGCCAUCAAAACUUUUCAGCUAGAGUAUGAUAGAGGAAAGCAGAAUUUCUAGUGUAGAGGUGAAAUUCGUAGAUAUUAGAAAGAAUACCAAUUGCGAAGGCAGCUUUCUGGAUCAUUACUGACACUGAGGAACGAAAGCAUGGGUAGCGACGAGGAUUAGAUACCCUCGUAGUCCAUGCCGUAAACGAUGUGUGUUAGACGUUGGAAAUUUAUUUUCAGUGUCGCAGUGAAAACGAUAAACACACCGCCUGGGGAGUACGACCGCAAGGUUAAAACUCAAAUGAAUUGACGGGGACCCGCACAAGUAGUGGAGCAUGUGGUUUAAUUCGAAGAUACGCGCAGAACCUUACCAACACUUGACAUGUUCGUCGCGACUUUAAGAGAUUAAAGUUUUCGGUUCGGCCGGACGAAACACAGGUGCUGCAUGGCUGUCGUCAGCUCGUGUCGUGAGAUGUUGGGUUAAGUCCCGCAACGAGCGCAACCCUCACUUUUAGUUGCCAUCAUUAAGUUGGGCACUCUGAAAGAACUGCCAGUGAUAAGCUGGAGGAAGGUGGGGAUGACGUCAAGUCCUCAUGGCCCUUACGUGUUGGGCUACACACGUGCUACAAUGGUAUCUACAACAGGAAGCAAAACGGCGACGUUAAGCAAAUCCUUAAAAGAUACCUCAGUUCGGAUUGCACUUUGCAACUCGAGUGCAUGAAGCUGGAAUUACUAGUAAUCGUGGAUCAGCGUGCCACGGUGAAUGCGUUCCCGGGUCUUGUACACACCGACCGUCACACCAUGGGAGUUGGUUCUACCUUAAGGCAAGGUUUAAAACCCUUGACUACGGUAUAGUCAGCGACUGGGGUGAAGUCGUAACAAGGUAACCGUA
RNAcentral lists this ribosomal RNA (993 nucleotides) under uncultured bacterium. RNAcentral's name for it is "bacterial SSU rRNA". It matches the Rfam family "Bacterial small subunit ribosomal RNA", at positions 501 to 1504 of the family's 1533-position model. The record is from RNAcentral.